GUGUUCCAUCCAUCCAAAAUCAGAACACAAGAGUGAAUCAGUGAGAUAAAGCUGUGUAUGAAAAUGAAGAUUGUGUUUGUAACAUUCUUCACUCUACUAGUUGUGUUUGCUGCGGCUCAAGAGUCAUCAAAUGGCUUAACCUGUGACCAGGAAAAAUCCUUAUUCGCACCAUGCUUUGAUUUUCUGACCAAGAAAACUGAUGCACCUGCAACUUCUUGCUGCCAAGGCUUGAAACAAAUCAUAUCUUCAGCAUCCACAAAGGAAGAAAAACAAGCUGCAUGCUCGUGCCUUAAGGACGCAGCCUCUAAAUUUCUUCCUAACAUAGACAAAGACAGAGCCAAUCAUAUCUGCCAAACGUGCAAAAGCUCAACGGACUUGGGUUGCCAAAAACUUCAUUAAUCUGGAGGCUUGAGCGGGAUACGUGGUUUUAGAAGCGAUGGAUUAUGCAUUGAAUUUGGUACUUUUGUAAAAUAAUAAGAUUGUUCCGUGUCCUUCGCUCAACGGACAUUAUUAUGUUCGAAUUGAUGAUUAAUAAAUAUGUUUUAUAUA
Molecule: long non-coding RNA, 549 nt
Organism: Vigna unguiculata (cowpea)
Lineage: Eukaryota; Viridiplantae; Streptophyta; Magnoliopsida; Fabales; Fabaceae
Source: RefSeq, a predicted model, not a curated record